This is a small nucleolar RNA of Carassius auratus (goldfish), 70 nucleotides long. Its record names the gene SNORD58. It matches the Rfam family "Small nucleolar RNA SNORD58". From Rfam's summary of the family: snoRNA U58 is found in introns 1, 3 and 6 of the ribosomal protein RPL17 gene in humans. U58 is a member of the C/D class of snoRNA which contain C (UGAUGA) and D (CUGA) box motifs. The record is from Ensembl. Lineage: Eukaryota; Metazoa; Chordata; Actinopteri; Cypriniformes; Cyprinidae.
GUACAAUGAUGACCAUCUUAGGACACCUUUGUAGGUUACGACCGAUGAAAACAAACCAUUUCUGAGUACG